This is a small nucleolar RNA of Nycticebus coucang (slow loris), 140 nucleotides long. RefSeq annotates it as small nucleolar RNA SNORA42/SNORA80 family. The record is from RefSeq and is a predicted model, not a curated record. The transcript has a single exon. Lineage: Eukaryota; Metazoa; Chordata; Mammalia; Primates; Lorisidae.
GAAAGAUUUAAACUUAAGACAUGAAACUAUAUUUCCCCUGGGCCUCUCAUAGUGCCCCAUGCCAGAGCAAACUGUGGCCCUGAACCAUUGCCUGGCCUCCGUGUCCAUAGGCUGCUGGCACUGAAGUGGGUUGCACAGAG